RNAcentral lists this transfer RNA (73 nucleotides) under Candidatus Kerfeldbacteria bacterium CG_4_10_14_0_8_um_filter_42_10. RNAcentral's name for it is "tRNA-Trp". It matches the Rfam family "tRNA". Rfam says of the family: Transfer RNA (tRNA) molecules are approximately 80 nucleotides in length. Their secondary structure includes four short double-helical elements and three loops (D, anti-codon, and T loops). Lineage: Bacteria; Candidatus Kerfeldiibacteriota. The record is from RNAcentral.
GGGACGUUAGCGCAAUUGGCAGAGCACCGGUCUCCAAAACCGGGGGUUGGGGGUUCAACUCCCUCACGUCCCG